This 162-nucleotide ribosomal RNA is filed under the name uncultured bacterium. Its description in RNAcentral is "partial 16S rRNA". It matches the Rfam family "Bacterial small subunit ribosomal RNA", at positions 355 to 511 of the family's 1533-position model. The record is from RNAcentral.
UAGGGAAUCUUCCACAAUGGCGCAAGCUGAUGGAGCAACGCCGCGUGAGUGAAGAAGGUCUUCGGAUCGUAAAACUCUGUUGUUAGAGAAGAACAUGCAGGAGAGUAACUGUUCUUGUAUUGACGGUAUCUAACCAGAAAGCCACGGCUAACUACGCGCCAG